UCUCUCUCUCUCUCUCUCUCUCUCUCUCUCUCUUUAUAUGUAAAUGAUUAGAGUGAUCUACUCUUGUAAACCCAAUAUGUCCAACAUCAUGGGAUCCAUCAAUAAAAAAUUAUAGGCUUGUAGAGUAUUAACUCCAAUUUUCUUCCAUCUUAUCGAGGACCAUCAUCUAUACUAAUAUAUAGUAGUGUGUGAUGUGACCUUAACAUAUGUGCCUUGUCAAGACCUGUUAG
This 230-nucleotide long non-coding RNA is filed under the name Elaeis guineensis (African oil palm). Its description in RNAcentral is "long non-coding RNA (EGUI_LNC039015)". The record is from RNAcentral. Lineage: Eukaryota; Viridiplantae; Streptophyta; Magnoliopsida; Arecales; Arecaceae.